AAAUCAAAUUUAAAAUAAUAUCUGUUUGAUUCAAUUGAGUAUUUUGAUUCAUUUUUUGUGCUCUUUUCAACUAUCACAAUGUUAAUUAUGUAGUAGGUGGUAAACAAAAUAGAGGUUGCAUUUUUUAAAAAUAUGUCAAGGGUAGAUCUAUUUUUCACCACUACUGUAGAUCUAAAUACUUUCAAUGUUGUCUAGAUGUUUUCCCCCAAAAUUUAUAGAAUGUAGCCUAAUGAAUUUAGAUGUUUUAUUUUUUCAUCCAGAUAUUUUUCCAUAGAAUUUACAAUAGUAUGUAGCCUAUGAGAUUCAAAUAUCUUCAUUUCAUUUUUUUGAUAUUUUAUUUCAAUUAGAGUUGGCAAUACUGAAACAUACACUGGCCAUGUCAUUGUUGUGAAUGUCCUAUCUUAUUUGAGUUCAAAAUUCAAAGUUCUAGUCAGCAUUUGUGAUUAUUUUGUACUUUACGUUAAAUUAAUCUAAUCUCCAAAAUGCCAAAAAGAAACUGUUUUUACUGAUAAAUUAAAAAAGGAUUAUCCAUUUUUUGAACAAGUUUGUGAUCAUCUUGACAAAGGAAAUGUACUUUUCAGAAUUUUCAGUAACUCAUGGUGGAUGCUGGGACAUUAAAAAUCACUUGAUAUAUGUGAAACACAAGGUACUUAUCCCAUUAGGCUUUAUUUUCUGUUGUGACUAUUUUCUCAAAAUUGUCCCGGUUUGAGAAAAAAAUAUCAUGGUGCAAAACUAAUAACGCAAUGUAGAUAAAAUCUUUACUGCAUUAUUACAAGAACUAGUACAUAAGAAUAUUUCCACUAAGCAGUUUUCAAUUCAAAACUUUUACCAGAUUGAGAUUUUUUUUUCUAGUUUUUAUGCUUUUUUUCUUCUAUAAUUUUCAUUUCAUAAAAAAUUGUUUAUACUUAAGUUAAUUAAACUAAUAUUUGAAGAACCCAUUGGCCUUUCAAUUGCAUAUGGAUUAUAACUACUCCAAUCAGCAAAGCCAUUGUAUACUAGUAUAUAAAAUUAAUUUUGAAUUUGAUAGUAUAAAUUUAAAUUGCUCUCAUCACUUUUUUAAAAAAAUAUAUGGGUAACAUUUAACUUAAGUUACUCUGUACAAUAUGUACUAAUAGAAGACAAUACAAAAUUUUGUACAUUAAUGAUUUGUAAUUACUAAAAAUAAAAUAAAUAACAUAUAAAUUUAUAACAUAUA
Centruroides sculpturatus (bark scorpion) is the source of this 1195-nucleotide long non-coding RNA. RefSeq lists it as uncharacterized. The transcript has 3 exons. The record is from RefSeq and is a predicted model, not a curated record. Lineage: Eukaryota; Metazoa; Arthropoda; Arachnida; Scorpiones; Buthidae.